GUUGGGUUGAGACACAUUCAGUAGCUGAGUGAUUGACAGCAAGAGGAGCAAGACAUGAGGUUAAUAAUUAUCAAAUAUAUGGCAAUGCUGGACUUUAGCUGAUCAUCGUGCUUCUGGAAAACAACAAAAAUUGAGAUAUCUGUUCACCACUUUGUGUGUCCAAGGACCACCUACUUUUUACAUGUGACAAGAACUACCCACCUCCACUCUUCAGGAUAGAACAUGCUGAAGAAAAGAGUUGCAAUGAGAAAAUAUAUGGGAACAAAAUACCUAUGCAAUGCAGAAGUCUGCAUAACUGAACCACUCAGAGGAAAAAGUUUCCCUCCCAGGCUGGAGUACAAUGGCGCGACCUCGGCUCACUGCAACUUCCACCUCCCAGUUCAAGCAAUUCUCCCACCUCAGCUUCCUUAGUAGCUGGGAUUACAAGUGCCUGACACCAGGCCAAGCUAUUUUUGUAUUUUUAGUAGAGACGGGGUUUCACCAUUUUGACCAGGCUGGUCUCAAACUCCUGACCUCAGUCCAUCGGUCCACCUCGGCCUCCCAAAGUGCUGGGAUUGCAGGCAUGAGCCACCGCUCCUGGCCUCAAGUUUAAUUCUUAAGUGAGUCAAUCAGUUAUAGUUCUGUUCAAAGCUUUCAGUGCACCUAAAAUUUCAUCCAACAUCUAUUAUCUUUCAU
Molecule: long non-coding RNA, 675 nt
Filed under: Homo sapiens (human)
Lineage: Eukaryota; Metazoa; Chordata; Mammalia; Primates; Hominidae
Description: non-protein coding LINC01676:31
Source: RNAcentral